UUUUCAGCCUUGAUGAAAGUCAGAACAUACAGGGUGUCCAACAAGUCAACGGUAAUAUUUAAAGGGCGGAUAUAGAUAUAGAAUAUGAAAUGCCCUUAGUAAAAAUUGAUGGUUUUCGAGAUAUUGGCAAUUCAAUGGAAUUCAUUAAAAUCGUUCACUUGAAUCAGAUUUUCGAGUGUGACUCCUAAAAAAAUUCUUAUUUUUAGAUUCAGAUUUUCUAUAUUAAUUAAGCAUUUCAUUAAUCAAAUAGCAACAUAUGAUUAGUUCUCAAAACUAUACAACAACUGCCAGGUAUUCAUUAAGGAAGUGACAGUACAACCUUUUCACUGAUUCAGAAAUCCAUUUUUAAAGUAAUAACUCAAAUCAUUGUGACCGCGCAGACUGUUUACAUGAGAGAUACUGGCCUUAGUUAGAUUGAGAAAAAUUGUCACUUUCCCGUUCGAGAAGGAAAACCCCGUGUCGAUUAUGAUGAUGAAAUUUUAAGAGACAUUUCAGCUGAGCAAUCGCAAGAUGAACAAGGAUGCCAAAAUUAAAUAUGAUUACUACUUGAACACUUGAACACCCAAAUUUUUUUACUGGGGUUGCAUAAAAGAAAAGGUUUAUGCAAAACCAAAAAUAAUAUUCAUGAAUUACGUCAGUGAAUAACUAACGCGGCCCAAGAGCUGAAUGUCGCAAGAAAUGCAAGAUGGAUAAAGAGGUCGUUUUUGAGAAGAUACAUCGCCUGCAUUUGCGUUAGUAGUAGGCAAUUUGAACAUAUUGUUUAAUUUUUUUUAGGUUAAAUUAAAACGGUACUUUAAACAUGA
Molecule: long non-coding RNA, 803 nt
Organism: Hermetia illucens (black soldier fly)
Lineage: Eukaryota; Metazoa; Arthropoda; Insecta; Diptera; Stratiomyidae
Exons: 2
Source: RefSeq, a predicted model, not a curated record